This is a long non-coding RNA of Exaiptasia diaphana, 239 nucleotides long. RefSeq lists it as uncharacterized. NCBI's taxonomy places the organism in Eukaryota, Metazoa, Cnidaria, Anthozoa, Actiniaria, Aiptasiidae. The transcript has 2 exons. The record is from RefSeq and is a predicted model, not a curated record.
ACUGUACACUCUAGCUCUCAACCCUGUUUUUAUUCAUCAACUGUGGAUUCAUAUUUUGAAUAAGACAAUUACUACAGGGACUGGGAAAGAAAUCCCCAUCUUGCAACUUAUUCAUCAAGGACAAAACCUAACUACAACUGAGGCCAGUCAUAUUGUACCCAUGUUGUCACUGUUUUGUGCGUUGUUCAGUCAUUCUCUGUUUUCUGUUGGUGACAAGGAGUUCUUUGGGGAACAAAAAG